This is an RNA transcript of Schistocerca piceifrons (Central American locust), 1645 nucleotides long. RefSeq lists it as uncharacterized. The transcript has 5 exons. The record is from RefSeq and is a predicted model, not a curated record. Lineage: Eukaryota; Metazoa; Arthropoda; Insecta; Orthoptera; Acrididae.
GCUGCAAAGAGAUUUUUAAAAUGUAACACAUAUUUGAUGUUCCAAACUGGCGUUCAUUUUGUAAUAAAGUACGAAGAUAUUUUUGAUUGGGUAAAUACAUAGAGUGGAAAUAUGCAUGCGGUGCGCAUCUGACAUUCGCCGGCACUAGCAAAGUCUAUGGUAUCAGCCGGCGUCCAUGAUGUGUUUGUUUUCAUCUGAAUUGUAUUGGCUACGUUUGAAAUGAUUGGGAUGUUGUAGAGUUUGAUUCCAGUGUUUCAUUAAAGGAACAUUUCGUCUCGUGUAGUUUGCAGAUAACUUUUCUAACAGAAAUGCCAUACGUAAUUGUACGUGGAACUCUAGGAAUGGCUAACACUAAGGUGUAUGGUCUCCCUUUGCAAGAAGCUGAUCUAAUAAGUUCGCAUAUGCGACCAGGUCCAACGAAUUCAAAUAAAGAUGAAAUAACCUUAUAUAACUCUGCAGUUUAUGUGUUAAAUCAGUUGGAAUAUUAUUUCGGCUACAGAGUAAUUACCUCUGCUUGCCAGGGCGAUUCCGGUCAACCAAUUUGGACAAUGUCUAAACACCAUUAAUCGAGGCCUGCAAGGAAGAAAUGUGAACAUAAUGCAAGUUGAGCAUGAAGUUGAAGCUACAAUUAAGAAACUGCAGCUGUGGGCAGUAUGAGUACGGAGCAAUAACGAUUCAUCAUUUCCUCUGCUCGGAGACUUUGUCAAUUCUUUGGGUGAAUAACUCUCUGCUGGAGUGCAGAACGCUUGACAAGAACAGCUAUUGGAACUAUCCUGCAAUACUUCAUGGAAAAAUGUUUUUAAGGAAAAGGAACUUCAUAGCUUUUGGUUGCAUAUGCAGUCAUCCGACUUUAGGGCCAUAUAUUGGGCAGAUGUGGUGUAAAGACUAUUUAUAAACAGGUGAAGAAGAUAAGAGAAUGUCGCAGUUCAUGAAAUUUAUGAACAUGACAAUACUUUCAUCAAGAAAGAAGAAAGCUUCAAGCUAUUAUGUUUCAUCAGAGCGGAUUCUGAGAGUAUAUCUACAUUACACUUAGAAGGCUCCUGACUGCAGAGUGCAGAAAAUCCUGAUGAGGAGGAGAAUAUUACUACAGUAAAUAAAGUGAAGUUUGUGUGUUCACCAGAGACAGUCUUACUACGCUGUACCACAUAAUAAGAUACAAGCAAAUCAUAAACUCCUGGACACAUUUGAGAAGUAUUCUUAAUAUGACCCCAAUAAGGAUUUAAACAAUAUGAUGUAGAAAUUAUGCUCAAAACAUAGUAAUAGUUAAACACAUUGCAUAGAAAUUCUUGUUUCCUUUAGAAAAUAGUGUAUAAUAAAUAGAAAAAUAGCCAUUUAUGAAGUUUGUGCAAAUUACACUGACUGUAUUUCCAUUUUUUUAGUCUUUUGUCUCAUUCUAGAAUUGUGACAUCAAUAAUAUUAAAUAAGUAAGAUUCCAUAUAGUGAAUAUUGUGGAAUAUUGUAAACCAUAUUUCUUAUAAAUAAGUAAAGUUUUAUUUCCUGUUUUAUUUUAUGAUUUAUUCCUCAGCGAAUAGAGUUAUAAUGAGGCAGAGUUGUGCCUGUAACUUGGUUCAGCAUCUCAUUACAGAACUCUUGUUAAGGAAAGGAUUUCCAAAAACUACUGUCAAAUAAAGAAAGAUUAAGUGUA